GGAUCCCAGGAGCUUGCUCCUGGGUGAGAGUGGCGAACGGGUGAGUAAUGCGUGACCGACCUGCCCCAUACACCGGAAUAGCUCCUGGAAACGGGUGGUAAUGCCGGAUGCUCCAGUUGACCGCAUGGUCCUCUGGGAAAGCUUUUGCGGUAUGGGAUGGGGUCGCGUCCUAUCAGCUUGAUGGCGGGGUAACGGCCCACCAUGGCUUCGACGGGUAGCCGGCCUGAGAGGGCGACCGGCCACAUUGGGACUGAGAUACGGCCCAGACUCCUACGGGAGGCAGCAGUGGGGAAUAUUGCACAAUGGGCGCAAGCCUGAUGCAGCGACGCCGCGUGCGGGAUGACGGCCUUCGGGUUGUAAACCGCUUUUGACUGGGAGCAAGCCCUUCGGGGUGAGUGUACCUUUCGAAUAAGCACCGGCUAACUACGUGCCAGCAGCCGCGGUAAUACGUAGGGUGCAAGCGUUAUCCGGAAUUAUUGGGCGUAAAGGGCUCGUAGGCGGUUCGUCGCGUCCGGUGUGAAAGUCCAUCGCUUAACGGUGGAUCCGCGCCGGGUACGGGCGGGCUUGAGUGCGGUAGGGGAGACUGGAAUUCCCGGUGUAACGGUGGAAUGUGUAGAUAUCGGGAAGAACACCAAUGGCGAAGGCAGGUCUCUGGGCCGUCACUGACGCUGAGGAGCGAAAAGCGUGGGGAGCGAACAGGAUUA
Molecule: ribosomal RNA, 704 nt
Filed under: uncultured bacterium
Lineage: Bacteria
Description: bacterial SSU rRNA
Rfam family: Bacterial small subunit ribosomal RNA
Source: RNAcentral